CACACGACCGUACCGCAAACCGACACUGGUGCGCGAGAUGAGUAUUCUAAGGCGCUUGAGAGAACUCAGGAGAAGGAACUCGGCAAAUUGACACCGUAACUUCGGAAGAAGGUGUGCCUUUAGUAGGUGAAGGGAUUUACUCCUGGAGCCCAAUGAGGUUGCAAAUAAUCGGUGGCUGCGACUGUUUAAUAAAAACACAGCACUCUGCAAACACGAAAGUGGACGUAUAGGGUGUGACGCCUGCCCGGUGCUGGAAGAUUAAAUGAUGGGGUGCAAGCUCUUGAUUGAAGUCCCAGUAAACGGCGGCCGUAACAAUAACGGUCCUAGGGUAGCGAAAUUCCUUGUCGGGUAAGUUCCGACCUGCACGAAUGGCGUAACGAUGGCCACACUGUCUCCUCCUGAGACUCAGCGAAGUUGAAAUGUUUGUGAUGAUGCAAUCUCCCCGCGGAAAGACGGAAAGACCCCAUGAACCUUUACUGUAGCUUUGUAUUGGACUUUGAACAGAUCUGUGUAGGAUAGGUGGGAGGCUUUGAAGUAGGGUCGCUAGGUCUUAUGGAGCCAACGUUGAAAUACCACCCUGGUGUGUUUGAGGUUCUAACCUAGGCCCGUUAUCCGGGCUGGGGACAGUGCAUGGUAGGCAGUUUGACUGGGGCGGUCUCCUCCCAAAGCGUAGCGGAGGAGUUCGAAGGUACGCUAGUUACGGUCGGACAUCAUGACGAUAGUGCAAUGGCAUAAGCGUGCUUAACUGCGAGACUGACAAGUCGAGCAGAUGCGAAAGCAGGACAUAGUGAUCCGGUGGUUCUGUAUGGAAGGGCCAUCGCUCAACGGAUAAAAGGUACUCUGGGGAUAACAGGCUGAUACCGCCCAAGAGUUCAUAUCGACGGCGGUGUUUGGCACCUCGAUGUCGGCUCAUCUCAUCCUGGGGCUGUAGCCGGUCCCAAGGGUAUGGCUGUUCGCCAUUUAAAGAGGUACGUGAGCUGGGUCUAAAACGUCGUGAGACAGUUUGGUCCCUAUCUUCCGUGGGCGCUGCAGAUUUGAGGAAGCCUGCUCCUAGUACGAGAGGACCGGAGUGGACACACCUCUGGUGUAUCGGCUGUCACGCCAGUGGCAUUGCCGAGUAGCUAAGUGUGGAAGAGAUAACCGCUGAAAGCAUCUAAGCGGGAAACUCGUUUCAAGAUGAGAUCUGCCGGGGCCUUGAGCCCCCUAAGAGUCGUUCAAGACCAGGACGUUGAUAGGUCAGGUGUGGAAGCGCAGUAAUGCGUUAAGCUAACUGAUACUAAUUGCUCGUGCGGCUUGACC
This 1299-nucleotide ribosomal RNA is filed under the name metagenome. RNAcentral describes it as "bacterial LSU rRNA". It matches the Rfam family "Bacterial large subunit ribosomal RNA", at positions 1635 to 2925 of the family's 2925-position model. The record is from RNAcentral.